Molecule: transfer RNA, 74 nt
Filed under: Candidatus Phytoplasma luffae
Lineage: Bacteria; Bacillati; Mycoplasmatota; Mollicutes; Acholeplasmatales; Acholeplasmataceae
Description: tRNA-Cys
Rfam family: tRNA
About the family: Transfer RNA (tRNA) molecules are approximately 80 nucleotides in length. Their secondary structure includes four short double-helical elements and three loops (D, anti-codon, and T loops). Further hydrogen bonds mediate the characteristic L-shaped molecular structure. tRNAs have two regions of fundamental functional importance: the anti-codon, which is responsible for specific mRNA codon recognition, and the 3' end, to which the tRNAs corresponding amino acid is attached (by aminoacyl-tRNA synthetases). tRNAs cope with the degeneracy of the genetic code in two manners: having more than one tRNA (with a specific anti-codon) for a particular amino acid; and 'wobble' base-pairing, i.e. permitting non-standard base-pairing at the 3rd anti-codon position.
Source: RNAcentral
GGCCCUGUAGCCAAGUGGUAAGGCAUGGCUCUGCAAAAGCUGGAUCGGCGGUUCAAAUCCGCCCGGGGCCUCCA